This 366-nucleotide ribosomal RNA is filed under the name uncultured bacterium. RNAcentral's name for it is "bacterial SSU rRNA". It matches the Rfam family "Bacterial small subunit ribosomal RNA", at positions 1033 to 1388 of the family's 1533-position model. The record is from RNAcentral.
GACAGGUGGUGCAUGGUUGUCGUCAGCUCGUGUCGUGAGAUGUUGGGUUAAGUCCCGCAACGAGCGCAACCCUUAUUGUUAGUUGCCAUCAUUAAGUUGGGCACUCUAACGAGACUGCCCGGGAUUAAACCCGGGAGGAAGGUGGGGAUGACGUCAAAUCAUCAUGCCCCUUAUGUCUAGGGCUACACACGUGCUACAAUGGUCAGGUACAAUAAGACGCAAGCCCGCGAGGGGGAGCAAAUACUGUGAAAACCUGGAUCUCAGUUCGGAUUUGUAAGGCUGAAACUCCCCUAGCAUGAAAGCUGGAGUUCGCUAAUAAUCGCGAAUCAACAUGUCGCGGUGAAUACGUUCCCGGGUCUUGUACAC